RNAcentral lists this ribosomal RNA (436 nucleotides) under uncultured bacterium. RNAcentral describes it as "partial 16S ribosomal RNA". It matches the Rfam family "Bacterial small subunit ribosomal RNA", at positions 29 to 518 of the family's 1533-position model. The record is from RNAcentral.
AAUAAAUGCUAUCGGUAUGCUUAACACAUGCAAGUUGAAUGUUUUUUAAAAACAUAGCGAACGGGUGAGUAACACGUGAAUUAUCUACCUUUUAAUUCAGAAUAAUUAUUUUUAUAAAAAUACUGAAUAAAUAAAUUAAAGUUUUUUUAACGUUAAAAGAUGAGUUUGCGCAAGAUUAUGGUAGUUGGUUGUUUAAAAGACUACCAAGCCUAUUAUCUUUAGCUGAUUUGAAAGAAUGAUCAGCCACAUUGGGACUGAGACACGGCCCAGACUCCUACGGGAGGCAGCAGUGGGGAAUCUUAGACAAUGGGGGCAACCCUGAUCUAGCCAUGCCGCGUGAGUGAUGAAGGCCUUAGGGUUGUAAAGCUCUUUCAGCUGGGAAGAUAAUGACGGUACCAGCAGAAGAAGCCCCGGCUAACUCCGUGCCAGCAGCCGC